AAUCCAUAGGUUAAUGAGGCGAACCGGGGGAACUGAAACAUCUAAGUACCCCGAGGAAAAGAAAUCAACCGAGAUUCCCCCAGUAGCGGCGAGCGAACGGGGAGGAGCCCAGAGCCUGAAUCAGCAUGUGUGUUAGUGGAAGCGUCUGGAAAGGCGCGCGAUACAGGGUGACAGCCCCGUACACAAAAGCGCAUGUGCUGUGAGCUCGAUGAGUAGGGCGGGACACGUGGUAUCCUGUCUGAAUAUGGGGGGACCAUCCUCCAAGGCUAAAUACUCCUGACUGACCGAUAGUGAACCAGUACCGUGAGGGAAAGGCGAAAAGAACCCCGGCGAGGGGAGUGAAAAAGAACCUGAAACCGUGUACGUACAAGCAGUGGGAGCACCCUUUGGGUGUGACUGCGUACCUUUUGUAUAAUGGGUCAGCGACUUAUAUUCUGUAGCAAGGUUAACCGAAUAGGGGAGCCGGAGGGAAACCGAGUCUUAAUUGGGCGUUAAGUUGCAGGGUAUAGACCCGA
RNAcentral lists this ribosomal RNA (515 nucleotides) under Salmonella enterica subsp. enterica serovar Enteritidis. Its description in RNAcentral is "partial 23S ribosomal RNA". It matches the Rfam family "Bacterial large subunit ribosomal RNA", at positions 161 to 718 of the family's 2925-position model. Lineage: Bacteria; Pseudomonadati; Pseudomonadota; Gammaproteobacteria; Enterobacterales; Enterobacteriaceae. The record is from RNAcentral.